UUUUAUGCCACAAGAAAUAAGAGUUAUUAGUACAUGUUUUAUUUUUAAGUCUACUUUCAGUAUGCAAGGAGAGAUGUGUCUCAUAAGGUUGAUCAGCCAAUUUUAACAUAUAGAGACCAUCAACUAAUAUUCCAGAACCAAUUCGAUUAGAGUUUAAGAAUAUAUUAUAACAACCAUCUCCUUGAGUAGAUUUAAAACCAGCCAAA
RNAcentral lists this long non-coding RNA (206 nucleotides) under Capsella rubella. RNAcentral describes it as "long non-coding RNA (CRUB_LNC002164)". The record is from RNAcentral. Lineage: Eukaryota; Viridiplantae; Streptophyta; Magnoliopsida; Brassicales; Brassicaceae.